This 255-nucleotide unclassified non-coding RNA is filed under the name Hevea brasiliensis (rubber tree). The record is from RNAcentral. Lineage: Eukaryota; Viridiplantae; Streptophyta; Magnoliopsida; Malpighiales; Euphorbiaceae.
CAUUCUUCGAUUAUCAGAGGAAGAUCCAGUGGAACCAGCUUCUUCUACCAUCUGAUUAUUUCUAGUGCUUUCUGAAGCCCGGGGAUACUCAUAUCCACCCUCGCAUGCUGGACCAUCAUCUUCUGAUUGGUCCUUAAUGAUGGGAGGUGCCUCAAUAGCACCACUAGAUUCAUCAUCUUCAAAUUCUCGGAUUUCUCCCUCUUCUUCACGUGCAGAAUAUCCAUUCCUCUCAUCAGAACUAGCCUCAGAGUAUUC